Molecule: ribosomal RNA, 518 nt
Filed under: uncultured bacterium
Lineage: Bacteria
Description: bacterial SSU rRNA
Rfam family: Bacterial small subunit ribosomal RNA
Source: RNAcentral
UGGGGAAUCUUGGACAAUGGGGGCAACCCUGAUCCAGCCAUGCCGCGUGAGUGAUGAAGGCCUUAGGGUCGUAAAGCUCUUUCGCCUGUGAAGAUAAUGACGGUAGCAGGUAAAGAAACCCCGGCUAACUUCGUGCCAGCAGCCGCGGUAAUACGGAGGGGGCGAGCGUUAUUCGGAAUUAUUGGGCGUAAAGCGCGCGUAGGCGGUUGCUUAAGUCGGAUGUGAAAGCCCCGGGCUCAACCUGGGAACUGCCUCCAAAACUAUUGGUCUAGAGUUCGAGAGAGGUGAGUGGAAUUCCAAAGUGUAGAGGUGAAAUUCGUAGAUAUUUGGAGGAACACCAGUGGCGAAGGCGGCUCACUGGCUCGAUACUGACGCUGAGGUGCGAAAAGUGUGGGGAGCAAAACAGGAUUAGAUACCCUGGUAGUCCACGCCGUAAAACGGUGGGCGCUAGGUGUGGGGAUCGUUUCCACGAUCUCCGUGCCGUAGCUAACGCAUUAAGCGCCCCGCCUGGGGAGUAC